CUACGGGUGGCUGCAGUGGGGAAUAUUGGACAAUGGGGGAAACCCUGAUCCAGCCAUGCCGCGUGAGUGAAGAAGGCCUUAGGGUCGUAAAGCUCUUUCGCCAGAGAUGAUAAUGACAGUAUCUGGUAAAGAAACCCCGGCUAACUCCGUGCCAGCAGCCGCGGUAAUACGGAGGGGGUUAGCGUUGUUCGGAAUUACUGGGCGUAAAGCGCGCGUAGGCGGAUUAGUCAGUCAGAGGUGAAAUCCCAGGGCUCAACCCUGGAACUGCCUUUGAUACUGCUAGUCUUGAGUUCGAGAGAGGUGAGUGGAAUUCCGAGUGUAGAGGUGAAAUUCGUAGAUAUUCGGAGGAACACCAGUGGCGAAGGCGGCUCACUGGCUCGAUACUGACGCUGAGGUGCGAAAGUGUGGGGAGCAAACAGGAUUAGAUACCCCUGUAGUC
RNAcentral lists this ribosomal RNA (439 nucleotides) under uncultured bacterium. Its description in RNAcentral is "partial 16S ribosomal RNA". It matches the Rfam family "Bacterial small subunit ribosomal RNA", at positions 339 to 795 of the family's 1533-position model. The record is from RNAcentral.